UGGUUUCUCUUCAGAUCGUAUAAAUCUUUCACCUUUUACUAAAGAUUUCUGUGGAGAGGAACAAGCUU
This 68-nucleotide small nuclear RNA is filed under the name Cairina moschata (Muscovy duck). RNAcentral's name for it is "domestica (muscovy Duck (domestic type)) U5 spliceosomal RNA (ENSCMMG00000012749.1)". It matches the Rfam family "U5 spliceosomal RNA", at positions 7 to 74 of the family's 117-position model. Rfam says of the family: U5 RNA is a component of both types of known spliceosome. The precise function of this molecule is unknown, though it is known that the 5' loop is required for splice site selection and p220 binding, and that both the 3' stem-loop and the Sm site are important for Sm protein binding and cap methylation. Lineage: Eukaryota; Metazoa; Chordata; Aves; Anseriformes; Anatidae. The record is from RNAcentral.